This 963-nucleotide ribosomal RNA is filed under the name uncultured bacterium. RNAcentral describes it as "bacterial SSU rRNA". It matches the Rfam family "Bacterial small subunit ribosomal RNA", at positions 8 to 1004 of the family's 1533-position model. The record is from RNAcentral.
AGAGUUUGAUCCUGGCUCAGAAUCAACGCUGGCGGCGCGCCUAACACAUGCAAGUCGAACGAGAAAGGGGAGCAAUCUCUGAGUACAGUGGCGUACGGGUGAGUAACACGUGGGUAAUCUGCCCUUUGGUGGGGAAUAACCCUGGGAAACCGGGGCUAAUACCGCAUAAGUCCGAGAGGGGAAAGUCGCAAGACGCCGAAGGAGGAGCCCGCGGCCGAUUAGCUAGUUGGUAGGGUAAAAGCCUACCAAGGCGAAGAUCGGUAGCCGGCCUGAGAGGGCACACGGCCACACUGGCACUGAAACACGGGCCAGACUCCUACGGGAGGCAGCAGUGGGGAAUCUUGCACAAUGGGGGAAACCCUGAUGCAGCGACGCCGCGUGAGCGAUGAAGCCCUUCGGGGUGUAAAGCUCUUUCGGCAGGGAAGAUUAUGACGGUACCUGCAGAAGCAGCUGCGGCUAACUACGUGCCAGCAGCCGCGGUAAUACGUAGGCAGCAAGCGUUGUUCGGAGUUACUGGGCGUAAAGGGUGUGUAGGCGGUUUGGUAAGUCUGGUGUGAAAUCUCCCGGCUCAACUGGGAGGGUGCGCCGGAAACUGCCGGACUCGAGUGCGGGAGAGGAGAGUGGAAUUCCUGGUGUAGCGGUGAAAUGCGUAGAUAUCAGGAGGAACACCGGUGGUGUAGACGGCUCUCUGGACCGUAACUGACGCUGAAACACGAAAGCGUGGGUAGCAAACAGGAUUAGAUACCCUGGUAGUCCACGCCCUAAACGAUGCAUAUUUGGUGUGGGUCAUUCAGUUGAUCCGUGCCGGAGCUAACGCGUUAAAUAUGCCGCCUGGGGAGUACAGUCGCAAGGCUGAAACUCAAGGAAUUGACGGGGGCCCGCACAAGCGGUGGAGCAUGUGGUUCAAUUCGACGCAACGCGAAGAACCUUACCUGGGCUCGAACGGCUGGUUACCGGCGGUGG